Long non-coding RNA from Prionailurus viverrinus (fishing cat), 570 nucleotides. RefSeq lists it as uncharacterized. The transcript has 2 exons. NCBI's taxonomy places the organism in Eukaryota, Metazoa, Chordata, Mammalia, Carnivora, Felidae. The record is from RefSeq and is a predicted model, not a curated record.
UAACACAGAGCCCGACACAGGUGUUGAUACCUGAGCCAACAUCAAAAGUUGGAUGUUUAACCGACAGAAGCACCCAGGCACCUCUGAAGACAUUUUGAGCCUGACAUUUAGAUGCGUUUUCGACUGGAUAACUUCAGAACUGAGAAGUUCUGGCUUAUGGAGCACCUGGGUUACUCAGUCAGAAAUGCCUCUUACUGACUACCUGAUUAUUUGAAUCAUAGACCUAACUUUGAGGACAUCCCUGAAAUAACCACCUCCUGAAAUGAAUUUUACUAAACUGACCUAUUGUCAGGACUAAAAGGCUGGUUCAGUGAGAUAAAACCACCUACCAGCUAACUCUGAAUGUGUGCAAUGGUAGGCUGCCCCCAAAUGUGCCACUUUGGCUUACUAUUUUAAAUAAUCACUUAAGAAAACCCAAAGUUACUUAAGAAACAGCCAAUGCCAAACGAAUACUCUGAUUCCCCUAAAAGGGACCAUUGCUAUACCAGGAUGUAAAAAGACAACCUUAUCACCAGAGACAGGGAUUUUAAGGCUGAGAAGGCUGUCUAAACAACCCGUGUUACUUUUUCC